UAUUAGUAUACAUAACCAAUCAUUUGUAUAUUUACAAACUAAGUCCUGUAUUAACGAUUUUGAACAUUUAUUAGGAAUCCAUAACAUCUAAUCUACAAAAUGUAUUUAAUUCAGUGAGUUUAGCUGCUAACUAACUUCGUGAUAUGUUGCCGACGUUUACCGAACUUAAUGAAAAUAUUAACAGUCAAUCAUGUUUAUUUUGUUUUACAUUAAUAGUUUCCAUGCGCUUCUUUAAGUUAAUCAAACGUUGUCAUAACAAGACAACUUUCGAGUUUGAUGCGUUUCCGUCAAAAACUUUAGGUUUUAGUGCGUUUAUAUGCAGCGUCACAUUCGUUCUAAUGUUGAGCGAGUGGUUGGAAAACUGUUAUGCUAUAUUGCACGAAUGAUACGGCAAAUUGAAUUCUCAUAAUUGACAAUCAGCACUGCUGUCAUUAGGGAAUUGUGAUUAAGUACCUACGGAACAAACAUUAUUUCUAGUUUAACCUACACAAUGACGAUCACGAAUACGCUUGAUGAACGUUAAAAGUGCAGGAAUACAGGCGAUCCCCUCCAUCUGGUAAAUGACGUCAUAAAGGCGCGCAUAAUUAACGAUUUUUUUCGAUGAAGGACAACCUCGAAAGUGGUCUAUCGUUAAAUGAUUUUUGCGUUUAAUUUUAUUUUCUUUCUUCAGAAGCAAAUAACUUUAUCUAAUUUCCAUGUUCGUUUACCUUCUCUUUCCCAUUUACCACGAUUCUCCCUCUCACUUGCGCUGUGCUAUGCGGAAGAACUAAUACGAGUACUCGCUUUAAGUUUAUGGUAUACAGAAAAGCAUUCGGCGAAUAAUAUGGAAACAUAAUAUUUCAAUAGCACUACAUAUCUUAUGUUUUCUUUUAAAAUAAAGUCCUUGCACAAGAUAUUUAUAGAAAAACCUGGUCAUAGUAUAUAUCUAACAUAUGCA
RNAcentral lists this long non-coding RNA (937 nucleotides) under Mytilus galloprovincialis (Mediterranean mussel). Lineage: Eukaryota; Metazoa; Mollusca; Bivalvia; Mytilida; Mytilidae. The record is from RNAcentral.